Non-coding RNA from Prunus mume (Japanese apricot), 227 nucleotides. The record is from RefSeq and is a predicted model, not a curated record. NCBI's taxonomy places the organism in Eukaryota, Viridiplantae, Streptophyta, Magnoliopsida, Rosales, Rosaceae.
AAGAAGACGAAAAAGCCAGGAAAAGGCAAAGAGAAAGCAGCGGAAGCUGAGGAAAAGAGAGCUCGCAGAGAGACCAGAAGCUCUCACCUGAGGAUGACAUCGAUGCCAUUGUGGUACAUGGGGCAAAGGAUUCUGCAUGACAGAUUAGUCCAUGCAUCAAAAAAGAAAAAUAAUGGUAGAGGGAAAUAGUGUGAUUUUAUUUAGGUGGAAUGGAAGGUGGAAGCCAU